Long non-coding RNA from Drosophila arizonae, 306 nucleotides. NCBI's taxonomy places the organism in Eukaryota, Metazoa, Arthropoda, Insecta, Diptera, Drosophilidae. The record is from RefSeq and is a predicted model, not a curated record.
GUAUGUAUGUGUGUGUGUGUGUGUGUGUGUGUGUGUGUGUGUGUGUGUGUGCGUUUGGUAAAGGGAUGUCAUACAGUAAGCGUGCCGGCGCUUGCUUAAACAAAGAUCAGUGAUACAGGCAAAUCGGAAUAUGCAUUUAUCUUACACUGGUAUCAAUUGUUAUUGUUUUUAAUAUUAUUGUUUUAUAGUUAUACAUUGUUGUUGUUGUUUAGCAAUGGCCUUUAAGCAUACAAACAUUCUAGUACUUAAUUUUUCACGCAUGUACUUGACACACAUUUACAUACAUAAAUAUUUAAUUAGUUUGAA